This is a long non-coding RNA of Calidris pugnax (ruff), 730 nucleotides long. RefSeq lists it as uncharacterized. NCBI's taxonomy places the organism in Eukaryota, Metazoa, Chordata, Aves, Charadriiformes, Scolopacidae. The transcript has 5 exons. The record is from RefSeq and is a predicted model, not a curated record.
UGCUGCCAAGUUCCUGCAGAGGUUCCUCCACAUUAAUCACGCUGUUUAAUCACGGCCAUCUGUUCCAACAGCCAGCUAUGUGGCAGUCCCUCGGGGCUGGGACACACCCACACCCACCCCCCGCGACGGUACCCGAGGCAGGUGGAGCUCGGUGAGGGGUGAAGGCGGCCCCUAGGGCGGGGAAGGUCGAGCAGCACCUGGAGGCGGCGGGGAGGAGGCCGGGGGCCGAGCUGUGGAGGCCAUUUGCCGGCGGGCGGGUGCGAGUGUCCCAGCCUUCACUGAAGCAGACCAGAUUCUAAAUCUUCAUACUUUGUACCAUUUCAAGCCAGUCUGUUGUCAGCUGCAACUGGUUCUUUUCAUCUUUUGUGGUAAAUGUCAGGUUUCAGAGCUGGAACUUGCUGUGUGUUUUGAAGGCAGCCAAGAAGGAACUUUAAUGGCUCUCCUGGAAGUUGUUCAAAAGCCACUCCCAUUGACUGCAUCGGACAUUGGAUAAGGCCCCAAAAGCAAUUUCCAGGGAGGUAGAAGGCGACCCCCCUGUGCCAGAGGUGCGUGAUUCCAGUCGAGGCGGUAUCGUGAUGGCACGAAAUCAUGAGAGCUCCCGUCGCGCCUCUCCAGAGGAAAACGUGGAUAACUACGCAGUGCCGAUACGCUGACUGGACUGGGAGUUGCAAUGUGUAUCUUAAAACUAUGUAGGUAAUUUAAAUAAACGUUUGCAUUAGCUUUACCUGGC